CCCCGCCUGCUCAGUCCCAGGAGACGAACCCCCCGCAGCAGCCGCUCACGCUCUGCUCUGUGCCCUUGCAGGUGUGCAGUACGGCCAGGUGGGGGCGGACGUCGUCCUGUCGUGUGCCAGCGCCCCCGGACGCUCGGGGGUGGAGUGGCGGCGGGACGGGGCGGCCGCGCUCCCAGAGGGCUGCGUCCUGCGGGAUGGCGACCUGCUGCUGCCACAGGCCGAGCUCGCUGCGGGAGGAGCCUACAGCUGCCACGACGGGACCGGGCAGCUCCUCCGCUCCGUCUCCCUCCGGCUGGGCUACCUGCCCGGGAUCCCCUCCGUCACCUGCCGAGCUUCUGACUACGAGAAUUUCUCCUGUUCCUGGACACCCAGUGUGGAGACGUUCCUCCCCACCAGAUACAUCACCACCUACCGGUAGGGCUGAGCCAUGUGUGCGGGGUAGGUGGGGGUGGUGGGGAAUGCCACUCGCUUUGGGGCGUUAGCCACAGCGGCCUCGCCCGGCCUCAGCUCAGGGAACACCUUUGGUUCUCCCUGCAGACGGGAUUCCUUGUCACGUCCUGGCCUCGAGCGCUGUGUAGCGUUCCCACGCACUGCGUUCCACCCCAGACUUGGCUGCAUUUCAGGGGAGAUGCAGAGUCCAACCUUGUUUAUGCAAAUGAGAUGGGGGGGGGCAUAAAAGUAUUGUUGAUGAAUGGCUCCGGGUUUGGUUCCCAAGACGCCUGGAGGCGUUUCGUCCCCGGGAGUGUUAUGCUUAUAAGAAACACAUGGGAUCUUUUUCAGGGGAAAAGGCAACACGCUGCAUUUAUUGAAAAUACAACAGUUAGCAUAUGCUUUUAAUCACACACACACACGGUCUUAUACUUCCCAGGGUGUCGUAGCUCCAGUCACUCUAAUGGCCAGUUAGAUUGGGCACGAGUGAGGAGCUGGGCUUUGUCGGUGUGAUCCGAGGCUUUGCAGGACUGAACCCAGAGUUCUGUGGCAAAACACGCCAGCUUUAUAUGUGUAAAUGCCCACGUUAGUCUAUGGGUUUUGCAAUGUCAUACCGUGAUCUUUAGUCCUUAGCUGGGGAUAAUCUUGGGGUUUUCCGCUGUUAUCUCUGAUCCGUUGUCUCGCGCGGGGGGGGGGGGUGUCUGCCUCACCUCUGAGGUUGUCAUUUAGCAUCGGAUACAAUGGGUGUUUUCUGACUGUUUCCUGCUGUCUCUCCAAGUCUCUCACUUCUUCCUGACCAUCUGCACAUUUGCAAUGGCUUUAACCAUACACACGUCCUUUACUCACCCCGAACAGUUGUCCAGAGAAUUUCAGACAGGAUCCCAUUCUAGAGAGGGUUGUA
This 1330-nucleotide long non-coding RNA is filed under the name Chrysemys picta bellii (western painted turtle). RNAcentral's name for it is "lncRNA (ENSCPBG00000014244.1)". Lineage: Eukaryota; Metazoa; Chordata; Testudines; Emydidae. The record is from RNAcentral.